CGGACGGGUGAGUAACGCGUGGGUAACCUACCCUGUACACACGGAUAACAUACCGAAAGGUAUGCUAAUACAGGAUAAUAUAUUUGAGAGGCAUCUCUUGAAUAUCAAAGGUGAGCCAGUACAGGAUGGACCCGCGUCUGAUUAGCUAGUUGGUAAGGUAACGGCUUACCAAGGCGACGAUCAGUAGCCGACCUGAGAGGGUGAUCGGCCACAUUGGAACUGAGACACGGUCCAA
Molecule: ribosomal RNA, 235 nt
Filed under: uncultured bacterium
Lineage: Bacteria
Description: partial 16S ribosomal RNA
Rfam family: Bacterial small subunit ribosomal RNA
Source: RNAcentral